Molecule: ribosomal RNA, 403 nt
Filed under: Verrucomicrobiota bacterium
Lineage: Bacteria; Pseudomonadati; Verrucomicrobiota
Description: Verrucomicrobia bacterium partial 16S ribosomal RNA
Rfam family: Bacterial small subunit ribosomal RNA
Source: RNAcentral
UAGGGAAUCUUCGGCAAUGGGGGGAACCCUGACCGAGCAACGCCGCGUGAGUGAAGAAGGUUUUCGGGUCGUAAAGCUCUUUUAUGAGGGAAGAUAAUGACGGUACCUCAAGAAAAAGCCCCGGCUAACUACGUGCCAGCAGCCGCGGUAAUACGUAGGGGGCUAGCGUUAUCCGGAUUUACUGGGCGUAAAGGGUGCGUAGGUGGUCUUUCAAGUCGGUGGUUAAAGGCUACGGCUCAACCGUAGUUAGCCUCCGAAACUGGAAGACUUGAGUGCAGGAGAGGAAAGUGGAAUUCCCAGUGUAGCGGUGAAAUGCGUAGAUAUUGGGAGGAACACCAGUAGCGAAGGCGGCUUUCUGGACUGCAACUGACACUGAGGCACGAAAGCGUGGGUAGCAAACAGG